This 256-nucleotide ribosomal RNA is filed under the name uncultured bacterium. RNAcentral describes it as "partial 16S ribosomal RNA". It matches the Rfam family "Bacterial small subunit ribosomal RNA", at positions 524 to 776 of the family's 1533-position model. The record is from RNAcentral.
GACAUAGGUGGCGAACGUUAUCCGGAAUUAUUGGGCGUAAAGGGUGCGUAGGCGGCAUGAUAAGUUAUUGGCGGCAAAUCGAGGCUCAACCUCGUGGAAACUGAUAAUACUGUCUUGCUUGAGUGCAGAAGAGGUUAACGGAACUCCAUGUGGAGCGGUAAAAUGUGUAGAUAUAUGGAAGAACAUCAAUAACGGCGAAGGCAGUUAACUAUUCUGUUACUGACGUUGAGGCACGAAAGCGUGGGGAGCAAAACGG